AUUUCUCUGAGAUGUUUGCAAGCGGGCCAGUCCCCUGAGCCGAUAUUUCAUACCACAAGAAUGUGGCGCUCCGCGGUUGGUGAGCAUGCUCGGUUCGUCCGAGAAGCCUUAAAACUGUGACGACACAUUCACCUUGAUCCAAGGGUUCAAGGGUUACAGCCUGCGGCGGCAUCUCGGAGAUUCC
Molecule: non-coding RNA, 184 nt
Filed under: Salmonella enterica
Lineage: Bacteria; Pseudomonadati; Pseudomonadota; Gammaproteobacteria; Enterobacterales; Enterobacteriaceae
Description: 6S RNA
Rfam family: 6S / SsrS RNA
About the family: E. coli 6S RNA was the first non coding RNA to be sequenced, but its function was unknown until recently. It consists of 184 nucleotides that fold into an extended hairpin structure with a large single-stranded internal bulge.
Source: RNAcentral